Molecule: ribosomal RNA, 499 nt
Filed under: uncultured bacterium
Lineage: Bacteria
Description: partial 16S ribosomal RNA
Rfam family: Bacterial small subunit ribosomal RNA
Source: RNAcentral
AACGAACGCUGGCGGCAGGCUUACACAUGCAAGUCGAACGGCAGCACGGGAGCAAUCCUGGUGGCGAGUGGCGAACGGGUGAGUAAUAUAUCGGAACGUGCCCAGUCGUGGGGGAUAACGUAGCGAAAGCUACGCUAAUACCGCAUACGAUCUAUGGAUGAAAGCGGGGGAUCGCAAGACCUCGCGCGAUUGGAGCGGCCGAUAUCAGAUUAGGUAGUUGGUGAGGUAAAGGCUCACCAAGCCGACGAUCUGUAGCUGGUCUGAGAGGACGACCAGCAACACUGGGACUGAGACACGGCCCAGACUCCUACGGGAGGCAGCAGUGGGGAAUUUUGGACAAUGGGCGCAAGCCUGAUCCAGCAAUGCCGCGUGCAGGAUGAAGGCCUUCGGGUUGUAAACUGCUUUUGUACGGAACGAAACGGCGAGCUCUAAUACAGUUUGCUAAUGACGGUACCGUAAGAAUAAGCACCGGCUAACUACGUGCCAGCCGCCGCCGUAA